RNAcentral lists this ribosomal RNA (253 nucleotides) under uncultured bacterium. RNAcentral describes it as "partial 16S ribosomal RNA". It matches the Rfam family "Bacterial small subunit ribosomal RNA", at positions 524 to 776 of the family's 1533-position model. The record is from RNAcentral.
UACGGAGGGUGCAAGCGUUGUUCGGAUUUACUGGGCGUAAAGCGCGCGCAGGUGGGUUUACAAGUCGGAAGUGAAAGCCCAGGGCUCAACCCUGGGAGGCGGGUGGAUACUACGGAACUGGAGUACGGAAGAGGAGAUUGGAAUUCCUGGUGUAGCGGUGAAAUGCGCAGAUAUCAGGAGGAACACCAACAGCGAAGGCAGAUCUCUGGGACGUUACUGACGCUGAGACGCGAAAGCGUGGGGAGCAAACAGG